Unclassified non-coding RNA from Prolemur simus (greater bamboo lemur), 114 nucleotides. It matches the Rfam family "Y RNA". Rfam says of the family: Y RNAs are components of the Ro ribonucleoprotein particle (Ro RNP), in association with Ro60 and La proteins. Lineage: Eukaryota; Metazoa; Chordata; Mammalia; Primates; Lemuridae. The record is from Ensembl.
GGCUGGUCUGAAGGUAGUGAGUUACCUCGCUUGAUUGUUCACAGUCAGUUACAGAUUGAACUCCUUGUUCUACUACUUUCCCCCCUCCUCACUACUGCACUUGACUAGUCUUAA